Molecule: small RNA, 27 nt
Filed under: Bombyx mori (domestic silkworm)
Lineage: Eukaryota; Metazoa; Arthropoda; Insecta; Lepidoptera; Bombycidae
Description: ovarian small RNA-9924
Source: RNAcentral
AAACAUAUCAAGGAUAUGGUGUCUAGG